RNAcentral lists this ribosomal RNA (459 nucleotides) under uncultured bacterium. RNAcentral's name for it is "partial 16S ribosomal RNA". It matches the Rfam family "Bacterial small subunit ribosomal RNA", at positions 338 to 795 of the family's 1533-position model. The record is from RNAcentral.
CCUACGGGGGGCAGCAGUGAGGAAUAUUGGUCAAUGGCCGGAAGGCUGAACCAGCCAAGCCGCGUGAAGGACGAAGGUGCCAAGCAUUGUAAACUUCUUUUGUCAAGGGACAAAAUCAGGCUCGAGAGCCUGACCGAGGGUACUUGAAGAAAAAGCAUCGGCUAACUCCGUGCCAGCAGCCGCGGUAAUACGGAGGAUGCGAGCGUUAUCCGGAUUUAUUGGGUUUAAAGGGUGCGUAGGCGGACUGUUAAGUCAGCGGUAAAAGCCCGGGGCUCAACCCCGGCGAGCCGUUGAAACUGGCUGGCUUGAGAUGUCGAGAGGUAGGCGGAAUGCGUGGGGUAGCGGUGAAAUGCAUAGAUAUCACGCAGAACUCCGAUUGCGAAGGCAGCAUACCGGCGCCCGACUGACGCUGAGGCACGAAAGCGUGGGUAUCGAACAGGAUUAGAUACCCCAGUAGUC